RNAcentral lists this ribosomal RNA (420 nucleotides) under bacterium. Its description in RNAcentral is "partial 16S ribosomal RNA". It matches the Rfam family "Bacterial small subunit ribosomal RNA", at positions 355 to 776 of the family's 1533-position model. The record is from RNAcentral.
UGGGGGAUAUUGCACAAUGGGCGAAAGCCUGAUGCAGCGACGCCGCGUGGGGGAUGAAGGCUUUCGGGUUGUAAACCUCUUUCGCUAACGAACAAGGCCCGCUUAGGGUGGGUUGAGGGUAGGUGGAGAAGAAGCGCCGGCUAACUACGUGCCAGCAGCCGCGGUAAUACGUAGGGCGCGAGCGUUGUCCGGAAUUAUUGGGAGUGAAGGGCUUGUAGGCGGCUUGUUGCGCCUGCUGUGAAAACGCGGGGCUUAACUUCGCGCGUGCAGUGGGUACGGGCAGGCUUGAGUGUGGUAGGGGUGACUGGAAUUCCAGGUGUAGCGGUGGAAUGCGCAGAUAUCUGGAGGAACACCGAUGGCGAAGGCAGGUCACUGGGCCAUUACUGACGCUGAGGAGCGAAAGCAUGGGUAGCGAACAGG